CCUACGGGAGGCUGCAGUGAGGAAUAUUGGUCAAUGGACGAGAGUCUGAACCAGCCAAGUAGCGUGAAGGAUGACGGCCCUAGGGGUUGUAAACUUCUUUUAUAUGGGAAUAAAAUGUUCCACGUGUGGGGUUUUGUAUGUACCAUAUGAAUAAGGAUCGGCUAACUCCGUGCCAGCAGCCGCGGUCAUACGGAGGAUCCGAGCGUUAUCCGGAUUUAUUGGGUUUAAAGGGAGCGUAGGUGGAUUGUUAAGUCAGUUGUGAAAGUUUGCGGCUCAACCGUAAAAUUGCAGUUGAAACUGGCAGUCUUGAGUACAGUAGAGGUGGGCGGAAUUCGUGGUGUAGCGGUGAAAUGCUUAGAUAUCACGAAGAACUCCGAUGGCGAAGGCAGUUCACUGGACUGCAACUGACACUGAGGCUCGAAAGUGUGGGUAUCAAACAGGAUUAGAUACCCGUGUAGUC
RNAcentral lists this ribosomal RNA (460 nucleotides) under uncultured bacterium. RNAcentral describes it as "partial 16S ribosomal RNA". It matches the Rfam family "Bacterial small subunit ribosomal RNA", at positions 338 to 795 of the family's 1533-position model. The record is from RNAcentral.